Molecule: long non-coding RNA, 774 nt
Filed under: Musa acuminata (dwarf banana)
Lineage: Eukaryota; Viridiplantae; Streptophyta; Magnoliopsida; Zingiberales; Musaceae
Description: long non-coding RNA (MACU_LNC003715)
Source: RNAcentral
UGGUGGUGGUGGUGGUGGUGGGAAAAGUACUAGUGGUGGCCUGUCACAGGGUGAUGUUUGCUUUUUCCCAUCUUUUUCUUCUUACNNNNNNNNNNNNNNNNNNNNAAGUACUAGUGGUGGCCUGUCACAGGGUGAUGUUUGCUUUUUCCCAUCUUUUUCUUCUUACGGCUCUUUAUACAUGGCCGAAGCGCAAGUUCUAAAUCUCUGUAAGCGAUUGGCUCGCCGCGAUCAUGAGAUCGAUCCAUGUGGGCGUGUUCUGACGCCAUGAACUCGUCAACGAUGCAUGCCUUCUUCCAUCACCCUCAAGUGGAGGGACGGGUUCUGGAUGGGCGGAGAUCCUCCAAAUCCAAGUUGCAGACGUCGCACUUGUCCAUUGGCCAACCUCGCUUUCCUUCUCCUAACCUACUUACCUGAUGAUUGAUGUGCCUCGUGGGCACUCACUCUCACCCAAUCAUCUUCUCCACUGAGAACCACACUGGUGAGCAUGUGUGACCUUUUGCGUCGGAUUAGGUAUGGUCUCUACGCGGUGUAUCAUUGAUCUUUUGUAUCUUGGUCUUCUUCGAUAGAAGAUGUCUUUGGUCCGUGAUUGCAUCCAUGUCAUGGCUCGUAAUGCAUUAAGAUAGCUCCAAGCUAAAAGUACUGCUAGAAUCUAGAGUUUGGGAACUGCACCAAUGGCUAUUGUCUCUUUUGAGGCUGUCGCCAAAAGGCUGGACUUGUUACAAGAUAUUAGGUUAUUUUAAGGAGAUGAUACUUGGUUAUUUAUUAGCAUUAAAA